Molecule: ribosomal RNA, 224 nt
Filed under: Salmonella enterica
Lineage: Bacteria; Pseudomonadati; Pseudomonadota; Gammaproteobacteria; Enterobacterales; Enterobacteriaceae
Description: partial 23S ribosomal RNA
Rfam family: Bacterial large subunit ribosomal RNA
Source: RNAcentral
GGUUAAGCGACUAAGCGUACACGGUGGAUGCCCUGGCAGUCAGAGGCGAUGAAGGGCGUGCUAAUCUGCGAUAAGCGCCGGUAAGGUGAUAUGAACCGUUAUAACCGGCGAUACCCGAAUGGGGAAACCCAGUGUGAUUCGUCACACUAUCAUUAACUGAAUCCAUAGGUUAAUGAGGCGAACCGGGGGAACUGAAACAUCUAAGUACCCCGAGGAAAAGAAAU